This 330-nucleotide ribosomal RNA is filed under the name Triticum aestivum (bread wheat). Its description in RNAcentral is "partial small subunit ribosomal RNA". The record is from RNAcentral. Lineage: Eukaryota; Viridiplantae; Streptophyta; Magnoliopsida; Poales; Poaceae.
AUGGAUGUUGUGCGGCGACUUCAACCUCAUCCUACACGACGAGGUCAAGAGCAAUGGCAACUUGAACAGGCGAAUGAUGGGCAGGUUUCACCGCCUUGUCAACGAUCUCGCCCUGAAGGAAAUUUACCUCAACGGGCGCCGCUUUACAUGGUCCAACGAGCAGUCCCCGCCUACCCUGGUGCAUCUGGACCGCGUGCUCUGCACCUCGGACUGGGAAGACGCGCACGGCGAGUGCCAUCUCCGCUGCCUAGCGUCCGUCGUCUCGGAUCAUUGCCCACUGUUGUUGGACUGCGCACCCAUGCCCAGGGCGUACAGGCGCUUCCACUUUGA